Molecule: ribosomal RNA, 505 nt
Filed under: uncultured bacterium
Lineage: Bacteria
Description: bacterial SSU rRNA
Rfam family: Bacterial small subunit ribosomal RNA
Source: RNAcentral
AGGCUUUGAUCCUGGCUCAGGAUGAACGCUGGCGGCGUGCCUAACACAUGCAAGUCGAGCGAAGUUUAACAGAAGCUUGCUUCAGUUAAACUUAGCGGCGGACGGGUGAGUAACGCGUGGGCAACCUGCCCUGUGCAGAGGGAUAACAACGGGAAACCGUUGCUAAUACCGCAUAAAGCCUUUAAGGGGCAUCCCUUUAAGGUCAAAGAAAUUCGGCACAGGAUGGGCCCGCGUCUGAUUAGUUAGUUGGUGGGGUAAAGGCCUACCAAGACGAUGAUCAGUAGCCGACCUGAGAGGGUGAUCGGCCACACUGGAACUGAGACACGGUCCAGACUCCUACGGGAGGCAGCAGUGGGGAAUAUUGGACAAUGGGCGCAAGCCUGAUCCAGCAAUGCCGCGUGUGUGAAGAAGGCCUGCGGGUUGUAAAGCACUUUCAGUGGGGAAGAAAAGCCGCCGGCUAAUACCCGGCAGUCCUGACAUUACCCUACAGAAGAAGCACCGGCUA